This 69-nucleotide transfer RNA is filed under the name Ictidomys tridecemlineatus (thirteen-lined ground squirrel). RNAcentral's name for it is "Spermophilus tridecemlineatus (thirteen-lined ground squirrel) tRNA". It matches the Rfam family "tRNA". Rfam says of the family: Transfer RNA (tRNA) molecules are approximately 80 nucleotides in length. The record is from Rfam by way of RNAcentral. RNAcentral also lists the same sequence under 1 other name. Lineage: Eukaryota; Metazoa; Chordata; Mammalia; Rodentia; Sciuridae.
GGGGUUGUGGCUCAGUGGUAGAGCACUUGACUUGCACUCGUGAGGCACUGGGUUUGAUCCUUAAUACCA